UUAUAAGGAAGGCGACAGUCCUCCAUUUCAGCCUUUCUCACUAGAGGGACGCGACAGUGGCAUUUCUGGUCUUGUAAACACAGGACUCCAUGGGACCU
Molecule: long non-coding RNA, 98 nt
Filed under: Jaculus jaculus (lesser Egyptian jerboa)
Lineage: Eukaryota; Metazoa; Chordata; Mammalia; Rodentia; Dipodidae
Description: HOTAIR conserved region 3 (ENSJJAG00000008954.1)
Rfam family: HOTAIR conserved region 3
Source: RNAcentral